GUUCGUAGUAUAGUCUUAGUAGUUGGAACAGCAGGUAUGUUAUGUUGUGGUGCUGCCUGCCUCAAAGGUAGUUUGUCUGUAACAGUAUAAUCUAGGUAAGAUGCCUUUAGCAACUUAAGAAACACCAACCUGCAUUAUAUAUUUAACCUGCAACUGUAAGUACACUAAUGAAAAGUUAUUCAUCAUUCUAAACUUCGGGGGUUUUUUGGGGGGGGGACUAAUUAAAGGGUCAAAUGCAUAUUUCCGCAUAUAUCUGCAAAUGGGAACUAGAGGCUAAUGCCCACAUGCUGAUCCUAUGAAGCCCUCUGUAUACACUUUUAUAUUCUCUGCUUAUGGAGAUGGCAAAAUAUGUCAUUGCUGAUCGCAUAAUUGUAAGUUACAUGAUCUGAGAGAAAUGAAGAUAUGGGCAUGAAAUGAUCUUUUUUAAAAAACAAACACGUGGACUGAUCUCUCCCCUAAGCUGGAGUGCUGUUGCAUAAUAGCAUAAUAAGUGCCUUCCUGGAUCAGAUGAAAGGCUCUUCCAGUCCUCCUGUUCUCUAACAGAGAAAUUCCAGAUCCCACCACCACCACCAAAAAAUCUGGUGCUAGUUUUGUGCCGCAAACCAUGUCUUGUUCUGGCGCCCAAACUGAGUAAUUGUCACUCAAAACGGGGUCACAGGUAAGUGGCCCCAUACCCAACCUUGUCCGAUUGGCUCCAAACCAGUACCAGAAUGGUGUGCCAGUUUGGUGCCAUUUUGUGCCACAAGCCCCACUUUCUGUGCCGUCCCCCAAACUGAGUAAUUAACGCUCAACCCAUAAGUGCCAUUAGUGGGCACUUGUGGGCUAAGUGGGGAAUUAAGUGGGCUACGUGGGCACUUUAGUUACCGUAGCUAAGGCUGGCUAAAUGGGGACUUAAGUUGGCUAAGUAGGGACUUAAGCUAAGGGGACUUAGCCAACCUCAGCCACAGAAAGCAGGGUUUGAGGCACAAAAUGACACCAAACCAGCAUACCACUUUGGCACCUGUUUGGAGUCAAUCAGACAAGGUUGGAUUUUUGGUCAUUUUCUUGUGCCCCUAAUUUGCUUUGUCAAUUACUCGGUUUGGGGUGGUGGUGGCAUAAAACAUGGAGUUGACGGCACAAAACAGCACCACUUUCACUAAACUUAGGCAUCGGUUUUGGGGGGUGGAAUCAGAAUUUUGGGGUCACAUGUUAAUGAAGCUCAACCAGAUGCCUCUGGGAAGCCCGUAAGGACCUGAGCACUUUCCUAAGCGCUUUCCUAAGCGGUAUUCAGCCCCCUGCUGCCUCCAACUGUGCAGCUAGAACAUAGCCAUUGAGGCAGGUAGCCACCAACAGGCAUAGCCUCUUUGAUCUUUUCCUUUCCCUCGUUGAAGGCCAUCCAAGUUUCAGGGGCGGAGCUUCAUGCUCCGGCACCAGGGGCAGAAAGGAGGCGGGGCCGUGGCUGGUGUGCGUCCCGGAGGUGUGGCGCACCUCUUGCGGGGGCGUGGCGCCCAGCGCAGGGGGGGAGCAGCCACGAUGGCAGCCACGAUGGCACCCCGCCAGGAUCGUGGUGCCAGGGGCAGUGCGCUCCCCCGCCUCCCUCUUCCUCGCCAGUGCCAAGUUUAUGGCCAUGGCUGCAUUUUGCCGUAACCACAUUUCACAGUUUAAACUGUGGUCUGUGUGAAGUAGUCUCUUGUACUUCCUGUCACUUCGUAUUAGAUGCUUUGGCUAUUGGCUGUCUCUCUGUUCGUCCCAGCCCACUGAGAUUGGGGGAAGGCCAAGUAAGGAAGUGCUUUCAUCAGUCUUCCAUCCAUUCUCUUAAUUUCUGGCAAGUUGGUGUUGUUGUUUUCUUUUUUUCAAAUGUUUAUUUUAUGAAUUGGGAUGUUGGAAUGAGGGGAGGGAGGGGAGCAACAAGGAGAGGGUGUUUUCUUUUUCUUUUUUUACAUCAUAGAAGGAAACCAUUGUGAGCUCAGCCAAUAUACAGUGGUACCUGGUUACGGACUUAAUUCGUUCCGGAGGUCCAUUCUUAACCUGAAACCGUUCUUAAUCUGAGGUACCACUUUAACUAAUGGGGCCUCCCUCUGCCACCGCCACGCAAUUUUUGUUCUCAUCCUGAGGUAAAGUUCUUAACCCGAGGUACUACUUCCAGGUUAGCGGAGUCUGUAACCCGAAGUUUUUGUAACCUGAGGUGUUUGUAACCCAAGGUACCACUGUAGUGGGAACAAUGGCAAGUCCGUGACAAGCCUGUUAAUUGUUGCUACUGUUUCAACCAAUCAGAGGUUGCUACAUGAUAGCUGGGCCAUGUGGUUUCCAAAAGCCGUGUCUGGGGUUUGUCAGGGCUUCGCUUUCUACACUGCUUUAUAGAGAGAGGGACAGAACAAGGCAACUUCAGCCCAGCAGAAAAUGUUUACGGUUUGCGUCUUCCUUCUUAACUAUCUUGCUGUCUUGAGUAUCUUUCUUGGAUAACACAAACAAUACAGCAUCAUGAAUGAGGGCAUGCUGCAGAGGUGAUUGCAUUUGGCUGGUGAUCAAAUAAUCAAUUUUAUAAGUAUAUUGUUAGUUGCUGGCUCUUUUGAAUGCAGGUCCAUUUUGAAAACAUGAGCAUUAAAGUGCAUGUGGAAGUUAAAACGAUAGCCCUUGGCUGCCACCUAAAGGUUUUAAGUGUCACUAUGAAAGGAUACCCUCCUGUUGAAAAACAGAUAUCACAUUUUGUUCAAGAUGAUUUCACCUCCUGUCUUUACAAGAAACAUCCAGCAUCUUUACUGCAAGUGAGAGGUGGUCAUCCUAGGUACAUAUGCCUGAGCCUUCCCAUCUGCAGAUGUUCUGGUGUUGUAGCAACAGAUUCAAAAUUAGGAUAGAUGAAAACAUAAAUAGCAAAACGCUGGGAGUUAACACAUAAAAUAGUGGUGCCCUAUGUAGAUACAAUCCUUGCAUCAUCGUGCCAUGCGGACUAUUUCUCUCUCUCUCUCUCUCUCUCUCUCUCACACACACACACACACACACACACACACAAAUGUCUUUCAUAGAUAUUACCUUGCUGUUAAAAAAAAAAAAAACACACACAGAUAUACCCUACAAAUAUUCUGGUAUCUUGGUUUUCGAACAGCUUAGUUCUUGAACGUUUUGCCUCCCAAAAGCCACAACCUCAGAAGUGAGUGUUCCGGUUUUCGAACUAUUUUUGGAAGUCGAACGUCCGACGGGGCUUCUGCAGCUUCUGAUUGGCUGCAGGAGCUUCCUGCAGCCAAUCAGAAGCCGCGCUUUGGUUUCCGAACAUUUUGGAAGUUGAACGGACUUCCAGAACAGAUUCCGUUCAACUUCCGAGGUACGACUGUAUACGGACACUUUUAUGAAAGCACAAUGUGUCUGUUUCAUCAUCGUGCACCACCAGUUGCCUCAUGGUACCAGAAAAAUUUAGUACCUUGCAGCAAACUUCCAAGAUGCGCUGUCAUGAAAUGGUAUGCACACUAUGACAGCAUCUCAGAAGUACCAUGCGUCAGAAUAUAGGAAGAGCCGUGCUGAAUGCAUCCAAAUACCUUGUCCAGAAUUCUUUUCCUCACGGUGACUGAUCAGGUGCCUAUCAGAAGCCCAAAGAAUAACACUCUCCCACUUCUGUUUCCCAUCAAUUGUAUUCAGAUGCUUAUUGCCUAUGUCAGAGUGGUAUGAGAUUCUACGGGUUCCAUGUGCUUACCCAGGUUUCAUGUUUCCUUCAGAAAUUAGGCACAGUGGAGACUGUAUUGUCUUUAUAGUAUAUGGUUUAUUUACACAUGUAUACAACCUGAGUCUACAAUGGAGGAAUUUCCAGCAUUCACAUCCUAUGAGGGUCUGGCUUCCUCCUUAAGGGAAGCAUUGGAUUCAAAGGACAGCAAAAAGCCACUUUCUGUGUCUAGUUCCAGCUUGUCCUCCCCAGCUUCCAUGGAGUUCUGCCCUUCCUUUGCCUUCCCACUGCUAACCGACUCUAAGGACCUCCCCUCAGCCUAUGUCAUUUAAAGUGCAAACCCAAAACCUGGCCUUUGUCUGCUGCCAUUAGCCUUUGCCUCUGCUUCUCACUCAGAGCUGGAGUGUUUGCAUUGCCAAUCAUUCUUAAUGACCCAGUACUCUGUUCCCUUUGUUUGUUGCUGAUGCCCCAUCUUCUCCCAGGUGACCUCCUAAGCCCAGAAACCAGGUUUGGCCUGUAUUUUUGUCACUGCUAGAUUCAGCGUCUGGCAGCUUACCUUAAUACUCCAAACAUUGAUUUAUUCCUAUCAUUUAUUAAAUCUAAGGAUGGGGGGGGGAGGAUCUUCAACUUAUAAAUUCAUAACACAUUUAGGGGGAUCUAGCCCCCUCCAAACACUCAUAACACCAGCAAUCACGAUUAGUAGCCUGAUAACCUUUGCCCUUCAUGAAUUUGUUUGCUCUCCAUAUAAAGCAUUCUUACAUCUUGUAUAGUUUAACUAUGUGUUGUGUGAAGAAAUACUUUUUCCUCUCCUGAAUAUCCCACCAUUCAUCUUCAAUGGAUGACCCAAUGUUCUAGUAUUAUGAAAUGCUGGAGGGAUGAAUCUUCCUAUCCAAUUUCUCCACCCGUGAAUAAACCUCUAUUAUGUCUGCCAUCACUCACCCUUUUUUUUUUCAAGCUAAAAAGCCUCAGCCAUUAUAGUUUUUCCUCAUAGGAGAGUUGCUCCAGCCCUUCUUCCACCUCUGAAAUACCCUUUUUAAGAUGUGGCAAUUGAAACUGUAAACAGUACACCAAAUGUCGUAACCUUUGCACUUCUGUGGCUCAGCGGUAAAGCACAUUCUUUGUAUGUUUGAUUCCUGGCAUCUCCAGUUAGGGUUAGGGAAAGAAUCCUUCCUGAUAGCUGGCGUGCUACUGCCAGUCAGUGCAGACAAAACUGCUCUAGAUUGAUCAGUGGUCCGACUCAGUAUACAGCAGCAUCCUAUGUGUGGCAACAGCAUAGAUUGGUAGAAAGGCGUUAUGGUAUUGGCAGUUUUAUUUCUGCUUCUCUUCCUAAUGAUCCCCCAAUGUGGAAUUUAUUGUUUUCACAACAGCUGCACAGUAUUUUCACCAAGCUGUGCUUCAUGACCCCAAGAUCCUCUUCCUGGAUGAUGAUGAUUGCCCCAGUGGUGCAUCACAUUACCUUUGCUUACAUUCAAUUGCAUUUUAAUUUGCACUCCCCCAGUUGGGAAAGAUCCCUUUAAAGCAUUCCACUAUCUCUCUCUUUUUUAACCACCCUAAAACAUGCACAGAUGCAUAUGCAUUCACCACACACGAUUGAGUACAUGCUCCACAUGCAAUUUUCCCAUACUGAAGCCAUAUCUAUCUAAGGCAUUUGCCAACUGCAAACUAGUGGCCUUAAAAGAUUUCUUUUUCCUCUUUUGUAAUGUGAGAGAUUUCAAAGGACUGUUGAUGCAGAGGAGUCAGCAAAGGAUUCCUUAUCUCUCUUCCACUACCCAUCAGAACAUUUUGUACUUUCCCUUGAUCAAAAUUGUUUCAGAAUCAUUUGUAUUAAAAGCUGUGGACGUAAAUUAGCUCAGCCAGACAUCAACUACCAAGGGAUGAAGGACGUUUCGAUUCUUUCCACCCCCGUAAAUACCGCACUGCCUUCCUGUUAUCCCAAUUUGGGAAAAUGUCGUGUUUGACUCAGGGAUGGAAUUCCCUGUGGACAUACUUGGAUGAAGCAAAAGUGGCCCCACUAAAAAGGAUGAGUGAUAUUAAGAUCCAUAUAAAACACCACCAUUUCCACAACAACAGGAGCAAUCCAGGCCACCAACUUCAGUUUGAGCUAUAUGCCAAUUAGGGUCUUACCAUGUUCUCCUAUUAAAAUUGCUCAGAAACCUGAAGAACUGAGUACACCUUGAGGCAAUCUACCAAGGGAUGCUGUCAUGCUACCUGUAGAUGAGUGCCACACCCCAUAGUCACCUUUGACUGGACUUAACUGUCCAGGGGUCCUUUACCUUCACCUUUUACAUAAUGAGAGCACCUUACAGGCACCAAGUAUGCAACGACAACAGGAUGGAAAUGAUGGUGUGGAAGUAGCAACAGUACCUUCCCAUAUCCAAAAAAAGUAACACCUGUGUGGUGCCACCCUUACUUACAAUCCAUCCUCCAGAUUCACCUUUUUGGCGAUACCUAUGACCAGUGUUUUUUUUCUUAAAAAAAAAUGUUUAGGGGUACUCUCAUUUUGACUCGGGAAAAUCACCACUUUAUAGUUCAAAUCGGGCGAAAUAAAUACAGUAAAUGGACAAAAACACAAAGAUUCACAAAAUGUUUAGGGGUAUCCAUACCCCUGCAUUCCCCCCCCCCGAAAAAAGCACUGCCUAUGCGCUAGGAGUUGCUGAUCGGAAGGUCGGCGGUUCGAAUCCCCACGACGGGGUGAGCUCCCGUUGCUCAGUCCCUGCUCCUGCCAACCUAGCAGUUCAAAAGCACGUCAAAGUGCAAGUAGAUAAAUAGGUACCACUCCGGCGGGAAGGUAAACGGCGCUUCCAUGUGCUGCUCUGGUUCGCCGGAAGCGGCUUAGUCAUGCUGGCCACAUGACCUCCGGAAGCUGUACACCGGCUCCCUCGGCCAAUAAAGCGAGAUGAGCGCCGCAACCCCAGAGUCAGUCACAACUGGACCUAAUGGUCAGGGGUCCCUUUACCUUUACCUUUACGACACAACACCCUUGAGUCUCAGGCCCUCCUGCAACUAAAUCCCUAAGUCUUAAUGCAUAUAACUGAAAGAACCACAUAUUGCUUCCCUGCUUCCCCCUGCCUCCACUUCCCUCCUUUUCCUCUGUUUUCCUUCUGUGCUGAAUGUUAUAGACAGUAAGCUCUUCCAGGCAGGGACUAGUCCAUUGUGCUCCGUCAAGUACUGUGCACAAUGAUGAAGCUAUAUCUGAAUCAUGCUAUGAAAUAACUAGAUAACUGGAGAAGUGUCAUUCUCUGCUCUCUGCCUCUUAUCCUUCCCCUAGGUUUGUUCCUAGCUCCACUAAUCCUAGGCUUUCUAUUCCUUUUUCCUCCACUGUCCCUUGUUUUAAAAGUAGGUUAUCUCUGCCCAUGCUGCUUUCAAUCUGAUUGUAAAACUCAGAGACAAUUUAACAAGGCAGCGCUAAUGCCCUCGAGCUUGCUGCCCUGCCGGAGGUCUUUUGGGAGCUGCACUGGCUGGUACAGCCAUGUACCCUCUUGUAGACUGUGUGGGGCUGAGCAGGGGGGUUACUUAGGAAGGGACAGACACAGAUUGCUCUCUCUUCCUUUUGCCUGGCGCAGAACAGUAUUGGUAACUGCAGCAGCUCAAGCAACUAUUGCACCUCAAUAGUUGAGGAGAAUACUGGUAAGAGGAAUGGAAUUAAAGGAAUGGAGGGCAAAUCUGAAAAGUAUGGAUGGGGAAGAGAUGUGGAUGCAAUUUAAAUCUGAUGUUAAACCUGUACAGUUGGUAGAGCAUGAGACUCUUAAUCGCAGGGUCAAGGGCUUAAGAUCCACAAUGGGCAAAAGAUUCCUACAUUGCAAGGAGUUGGGCUAGUAGCAGUAGUCCUUUCCAACUGUACAAUUCUAUGCUUCUCUAAUAAGGUGUGUCGACAUGAAUCUGUCAUAGGUAUAAAUAUAUCCAUAAACUACACCACACGUAAAUCUAACAAGAUGAUAUAUAAGGUUUGCUGGUUAUGGAAUCCAGCCUCGUAUUAGGCAAGGGGGCUCAAGACAUCGCUGUGGCCUGUUCCUUCUCCUACCCACUAUACUAUUGCCAAUAAUAAUAUCAUAUGCAGCUGCUUCAUAUGUAAAGCUCCAGAAGUGCAACUUACAAAGGCCUGUUCUGAAUUUUGAGUUGAAAAGGUGCUAAAACCACGAGGAGGAAAUGCAGUACUUUUACUGUAUGUAGAGAUAUAGUUCAAAGAUCCACCUGCUUCCAUGGCCCAGUGAUGAUAAACAUGUGUGGGCAGAAUAGCGUGCAAUAUGUAGAAGAGAACUAUUUUCAAUGAUGAACUAUUCCAGAUAGUAACAUGGUGAUAAAUACAAUCAUUGCCUCUUGCAAUCGUAAUGUAAUCAUGUUGAUUACAUUCUUACAUAAUAUACCUGUGUAAAGUUUUUUUAAAAAUAAAAUAAAAUACUGGGGUUGGUGGUCUUCAGUUAUGAGAAUAUUUGCCGGGAGUGUGCAUUAUGUUUGGAUGAAUCUCAGCUGCUGAAGAGAAGUGGAAUACUGCAUCUCAGAGGGAUUUUCGGCUUAUUGGAGGUGAAGCAGGAUCUGUACAAUGAAGCGAGUCCAAGCAGGGACCCCUGAAGCACUUCAUGGCGCCUUGGCAAUCCAAAGCAAGCUUCCGCUGAAGGCAAAUUAAAUGUCUUUAAACUUACCUUAAUGCCAGGGUGGGAUGAUGGAAGAAUAGAGAGCAAACAUCAGAGUUGGAAAAAGCGGGUGGAGAGCUCUAUUGAGAGUGGUGGGAUUCAAGUUAGCUGCAAAAUAUCUUCUCCCAGUGGUUUCAAUGGGAUUGAAGCAUGACUAACUUUCUUUGGAUGGGGGCCAGAGUGUAUUUUUAAAGGCAGGCCAUAUGGCAGCUCUUCCACUUGAAAUUAGAGAGAGAGGGAGAGAGAGGGAGGGAGGGGGGGUUCUCUCUGCGCAUAUAUGUGCAGGAAAAAAGAGCAGCUUUCUAUCCUGAAACAAAAAUUAUGUGGUUUUUGUUUAUUUUGUAGAGUUCUAGCCCACCUUUCCAAAAGGCCCUCAGGCAGUUUACAAUAAAAAUAAGCAGCAGCAGCAAUGGUAUAGUUUGAAACAGGCCAUAGAAGGCCCUUGCUGCUAAACCAAAUAAUAGAAAUUAUCUAUGGUUAUUGCAGGGGUCAGUAGCUCCUUUCGAGCUAGUUUUCCAAAGACGACAUAGGUGUCUCCUGGUGAGGCACUCAGAGAGAAAUGCAUCCAGAUUAAGAUGUAAUAAAUAAGCCAGUAGUACAUUAUAUUUAUUAAUUUAACUAACAACGGGGACUCAAUGUAGCUUCUGGGACUUACUUAAGCCCCACCCCUAUAUCCUUAGGCCACACUCUCACCAGUCCUGACUGCACCCCCCCCACACACACACGUUGGUUUGGCUGGAAUCUUUCCUUGAAUUGUGAUAAUGUCUCUCGCUUGCCUGUAUCGAGGGUGAAGAAAUUGGGGGGGGGGUGUUUGUUGAAACCUUUUGCUUUUGCAUUGGUGGAAUGUAUGGUACUAUACAAAAGCAAGAGCGGCAUCCAUUGCUCUGCUUGGCGCCUCUGGCCCCAAUCAAAACUGGCAUGUCCCCCCCCCCCCAAAAGUGACCCAUGAGCAGCCCCAUCCGUGGUUUAUCUUGUCAAAAUAACUCACGUCUCCCUUCUCAAUUCUGACUCACCCUUUACAUUUUCAUGUUUUGGCUGCUGGUUACACACUUUAAUUGAAUUGUUCAAAAGCUGUAAUAAAAAAAAUCUUCAGUUAAAAGUAUAAAAGGUUUUUAUAAAAAUUGAAUAGAAAUAAUGCAUCCUUAACACACACACCUCCCCCCCCCCCCAUGAUGGAGAAAUUGUGGUGGAAUUGGUACAUUUUACAAUUGGUCAUGCAAAGAAACAUUCAAAUGCUGGUCAGUGGUUUGUUUGUUUUUUACUUUUUUAUUGAUUUAUACAAUUUAAAAUUCUCAUAAAAUAUAUAAUUGAUAGAAAAGACAAAAACCCACACACCCAUUCUCCCCCCACCCCCCUUCCCUCAACUUAGCCUUAUGUGUGUGGUUUUUUUGGUAAAUAUAGUCCUUCUGCUUACAUUGUUAUAUCUUAACUUCAUGUUCUUUUAUCUAAAAACAUUCCCAUUCUUAACAUUUUAAAUCAUCUCUUUAAAAGUACUUCUUAUACUUAAUUAUAUUCAAAACAUUGUUCCUUAUCUUUUACAUUCAUUUUCGUGGUUGUACAUGUUUACUCAAACUCUGCUGGCGAGUAUAUUUCAUUACAGUAUUUAUGCAGAUGCAACAUAUAUACGGUAAUUCCCAGUCUUUUUAAAAGUCUCUGUUUUGUUUAUUUCUUGAUCUUCCUGUAAAUUUCGCCAUUUCUGCGUAUUCCAUCAUCUCGGUUUGCCAGUCCUCUUUGGUCGGUGUUUUGUCAUCUUUCCAUUUUUGAGCAAGCAGAGUCCUGGCCAUAAAUGCUGGUCAGAGGUUUUUAAUGAAAUAACGCAAACAACUGGCCAAAAUAUACAAGUGUAUGUAUAUACAAAUAUACAAGUGAGCCCUCAAUUGCCAUUGUUGUCUAUUUUUGAUAAUUUUCAAUUUUUUGUAGAAUCAUAGAAUGGUAGAGUUGGGAGAGACCACAAGGGUCAUCUAGUCCAACCCCCUUUGCAAUGCAGGAUGUAUUUUUUUACCAAUGUGGGGCUCAAACCCACAACCCUGAGAUUAAGAACCUUAUGUUCUACUGAGUGACACUGGUGGACAAAAGUGGGGGCGGGGGAAGCAGCCUGCACUGGGUGCCAUUUGGGAAAAGGGUGCCAUCGCGUCCGCCCCCCCCCCCCCCGGACACACGUCAUGCCCCCGGGAUGUGUGCCAGCCACGCCCACGCCUGUUCUCCGCUCUGGGGGCUGCAACAUGUAGCUCCGCCACUGCCGACCAAUAUAUCUUUUUAAAGAGUUAAUACUUUUCUUUAUCGUGGCAGCUAGAUUAAUAAUCUCCAGUUUCUAAAAGCAGUCACACUCCAACCUGCUGAGUCUGUGGUACAGUGGACGCUUGGGUUGCAAACGUGAUCUGUGCGGGAUGCACGUUCGCAACCUGCAACAGCACGUCUGCGCACGCGCGGGUUGCAAUUCGACUCUUCUGCACAUGCACAAAGCACGAUUUAGCGCUUCUGCACAUGCGCGACCCCCGAAACCUGGAAGUAACCGGUUCCGGUACUUCCGGGUUUUGGCGGGUCCAUAACCCAAAAAAACGCAACCUGAAGCAUCUGUAACCCAAGGUAUGACUGUAAAAGGAAAUGUGGCAAAUUGCUCUGAUGGAAAAUCUUACCUUUUCUUCUUCUUCUUAAAGAAUGGCAAACUGGCACAUGCAGUGUCUUACUUGGAUGUGUCAGGAGUCUUGGAAGCUUCACUACCCUAUAUUCUCCUACAAAUGAACACUGAGCUGGUUUGGAGGUCCUAGCAGGGGAGUGCAGCUAUCGCAUACCCUUGACCGAAGAACGGUACACUCCUUCAAACUGGGAUUGCUGUCCACCGAGCACACAGCUUCAGGAGGGACACAGGAGGAGCAGUGAGGGAGGAAGGGGACACCCACCUAGCUGCCAGAUCAGCCUAAUCAACCCUGGCGAUCAAUGGGGUGACAGAUGUCGCAGACAGAUCUCACUCACAUCUUACCUUUAAAGUAAAAGGCUCAAAUAAACAAUCUGGAAGCAGAUUAAUAUCAUGCCAUAUGGUAUAAAUUUAUUGAGCACGUAACUAAAUCUGAGGGCAUUCUACACACACACCCCACACACAACUGGAAAAUUAUGGACUAUAUUUGACAUAGAUACAGAACCUGCUUGCCAU
This 11413-nucleotide long non-coding RNA is filed under the name Podarcis lilfordi (Lilford's wall lizard). The record is from RNAcentral. Lineage: Eukaryota; Metazoa; Chordata; Lepidosauria; Squamata; Lacertidae.